Molecule: ribosomal RNA, 200 nt
Filed under: Merdimmobilis hominis
Lineage: Bacteria; Bacillati; Bacillota; Clostridia; Eubacteriales; Oscillospiraceae
Description: partial 16S ribosomal RNA
Rfam family: Bacterial small subunit ribosomal RNA
Source: RNAcentral
AAUUAAGAGUUUGAUCCUGGCUCAGGACGAACGCUGGCGGCGCGCCUAACACAUGCAAGUCGAACGGAGUUAAGAAGAAGCUUGCUUCAUCUUAACUGAGUGGCGGACGGGUGAGUAACGCGUGAGUAACCUGCCUCAAAGAGGGGGAUAACGUCUGGAAACGGACGCUAAUACCGCAUGACAUAUCGUUAUGGCAUCAU